RNA transcript from Cavia porcellus (domestic guinea pig), 15683 nucleotides. It is a transcript of the gene named serine/arginine repetitive matrix protein 3-like, with no coding region annotated. The record is from RefSeq and is a predicted model, not a curated record. Lineage: Eukaryota; Metazoa; Chordata; Mammalia; Rodentia; Caviidae. The transcript has 2 exons.
AAGUCAUCCACCCUCAAGUACAGUGGCUUAAAAUAACAGUCAGUCACUUUGCUCAUAGGUCUGUAGUUUGGGCAGGGCUUGUCUGGAACAGAGCGUUUCUGUGCUGUAUAGUCAGGGGUAGAGCAUGCACUUCUGCGUGCUUAGUUUUUCUCCGUGUGUGCAUCUCCACAAAAGUAGUUUGGGUUUGGCACAGUGUGGUUGGCUAAGAUCCAAGAAUGAGUGUCCCAAGAGACAGGAAGUGGAGGUUGCCAGGUUUCUUAGGAUUUGGGCCCAGAAAUGGGCACAAGGAUCUUCCAAUAGCUGAGCAGUCACAGACCUCAGAUUCAAAGCAAGAGUGUAGAUUCCCCAUCUAAGAAAGAGAUGGGUGUCAAAGACUUAGGGAGCAUUCUGUAAAACCAUUAAGGAUGUCCUAAGAACACCACAAUUGAAAGGGGCCUUUAUGAUUCUCUAGCUCUGUUGGACUAGGUAUUUCUCCUCUAUUAUACCUACAGCUUCUCUCUGAAGGAGACUUAACCAGCUGGAAUAACUUAAGUGCCCCGAAGAAGCUCUGGGCAAGUGGCUUGGCAAACUGACGGUAUUUUCUAGGAAGAAAAGGUUACUGUCUUCUCCCAGAAGAGGCAGUUCACAGCAUGGUAUGUAAAACCUGAUGGCUGUCAGUCCCUAUGUACUCUCCAACCAGGGACAGUUACAUAGUGCACAACUAAACGUGUCAGUCUGUCCAGUCUUUGUUAGAGCACACCCACCAGUCCCUGUGUUUUGAGACAGCUGAUCCAAUUGUGGUGUGGGAUGACUUCUUAAAAAUUCUUCCUUCACACCCACAGGAUGGUUAUUAUAAACAAAAAACAAAACCCAAAUGAGAAAAUAGCCAAGUGUUGACAAGAAUGUGGAGAAAUUGGAAUAUUUGGAUAUUGCUGGAAGGUAAAAUAGGGCAGCGGCUGUUGGAAAACAGCAUGAAAGUCCUCAAAAUGCUAUCAUUAUUAUUUUUGUGGUACUGGGGUUUAAACCCAGGGAUUUCAAACUGAGCUACAUCUCCAACCCCCUUUUAAUUUGUUUUUUGAAAGUUUGAGACAAAAGCUUGCCGAGUUGCUGGAUUGCCCAAAUGGACUCAAAUUUGUGAUCCUUCUGGCUCAGUGUCCAAGAGUGUUUGCACUACCGCAUCUGGCUAAUUAAUCCUUGAAAUAGUAAAUAGAAAACUUCUAUGUAAUCUAUGAGAUUUACUGCCUGGGAUAUUAAAAUAAUUGAACCAGGAACUUAGACAAUAUCUGUACACCCAUGUUAAUCGCAGAAUUAGUCCUAAUAACCAGAAGAUGAGAACACCACAAAUAUUCAUGAAUGAAUGAAUGAAUGAAUGAAAUGUGUUGUAUACAUCCAGUGGCAUGUUGUUUAGCCUUAACAGAAAACAAAAUCUUGACGCAUGAGUGAAAGCCUACAGCCUGGAUGAAUUUUGAGGACAAUACGCUAAGCAAAGUAAAGAAGACACAAAAGGACAUACAUUAUAUUGUCACAGGACAAAAAGCCACAGCAAUUUAGAACCUUAAUUGGCUUUCUUUAUGAUUCUAGAAUCAGGCUACACUUUAUCCCAUAAAAGAGAAACUUAGUUUCUUUCUUUUUUUCUUUCUUUUUAUUUUCUCUUUCUUUCUUUCUUUCUUUCUUUCUUUCUUUCUUUCUUUCUUUCUUUCUUUCUUUCUUUCUUUCUUCUCUCUCUCUCUCUCUCUCUCUCUCUCUCUCUCUCUCUCUCUCUCUCUCUCUCUCUCUCUUUCUUUCCUUUCUUUUUUGCUACCUGGUAUUACACUCAGGGCCUUCACACUGAGCUAAUUCUCCAGAAAUUUUUACUUUUUAUUUUGAGAAGAAUCCUCACUAAGUUGCUAAAUUGCCCAGGUUGGGCUCAAACAUGCAAUCCCCCUGCCUCAGUCUCCUAGAGUGCUGGGAUAAACAGGCUUUGCACCAUCACAUCUAAUAGACUAAGCAUUGUGAUGGGCUGCAGAAGAGGUUGGUUUUGUAGACAGAAAACAUUUGAAGAAGGCAGAAACAAAAGAAUGGCAACAACAAAUGGUUUGACCAUUUCAAAGUUACUUUCCUGAAAGGUGGGACAGAGGCACAGAGUAGUAGACAAAUAGCUCAUGAGUUUUUAUGAGUUUACUUCAAGGUUAUCUCUAUGUGUGUGUAAGGCAGGGGGUAGCUCACUAUUGUGCUGGUUAAACUGUCUGCUUGGGAAUCUUGACAGCUUGCUUUCUACUGGGAUUUCUUGGGAGGUAACAUAACCAAGUUAAUUUCAGCUUGGUGACAUGGAACUUUGGUGCGUGUGACUUCAUUUUGAGUUUUAGCCCAAUUUGUUCAAGAGCUUAGUCCAAAAAAUAGCUUCUUAUCAUUUUUAUUGAACAGUAUGAUGCCAUUUAUGUGAGGGCUUUAAAACUGUUAUAUUCAGAGUAACGGAAGGUAGAAAGUGACUACCAGGAGCUUGGAGAAUGGGGACUUGUUUAUGUAUUUGAGUUUUGCUUUAGGAUGAUGAAGAAGUUCUGAAGGUGGAUGGUGGUGAGUGAAGGUUGCAUGACAAUGAGAGAGAAAGGUACAUGUAAAAUGAUUAACAUAAUACAUUUAUAUAUAUAUAUAUAUAUAUAUAUAUAUAUAUAUAUUUACCAUAGGAAAAUUUUUUUCCUGAUUCAAGAUGAAAUCUUGUUUGUGCUACCUAUUGACCUCUAAGUUCAUAAAAUGAGUUUACGGUCUCUUCUAAGGAAGAUCUUCAGAUAUAAAUAAGUGUUGAGUCACGAGCAAGAUCUGCUUUUGAAAGACAUUGGAGUUGCCUCAUUCUAGGUGAGAAUAACACAAACAUGCCUUCUUGUUGGAGGUUUAUCUCAUCUUCUGUGUUUUACUUUGGAGAAAAUGACUUUGGUAUUUUUGGCAAAGUUAGCUUCUUAUAAGCAAGACUAAUAUACUUCUCCUACCUCUUUAUUGCCUGAUUUAUACUUGUAAAGAGCAGACUGUCAACAGAUUUAACUGUUUUCAAUUUGAUUUCCAAAGGCAGAUCCUUGGGAGGUGAGUUGGAUGCAGAUUUGCAGGUUUCCUAGGUUUCAGGGGAAACUUCCUCCAUCUCACUUAAUUCUGGUUCAGGCAGCUCAUUAAGUGGAGCAUUGCUGGGAAGGGAUUUAUCAUGGCUUCUCUCGGCAUCACAUCAUAUUGAUUUCCUGUGCAAUAACUGCUGUAGAUUAAGAAGUGCUUGAGAUAGCACUUAAAAACCAGUGUUUCAUGUUUUCUUUGGGCAAAUGGUCUUCUAAAUUUGAGUUUCCUGAUUGACAUUCACAAGUCCCUUUCACAGCUGCUGACUCCUGAGAACCUCAAUCUUGAGAUGCAAUAAAAAAUUUCAACUUCACAGCAUUUGCAGGGAAAGUGUACAUUUUUUAAUUUCUUGGGGGGAGGAAAACUAAAGAAUUGAAAGAAGAACCACAAGGAAGAACCACAAGGCUGGUUGUGAGGAGAAAAGCAAGAACUAAAGAGACAUUCUCCAGAGACAAGAGACCUGGAACGGACACUGAAGCUCCCACAUGGUGGGUGUGGUGGCUGGGACUAUUGGCAGUGAAGGCCCUUGGCCUGAGGGUACAAAGACAAAUCCUCUCAGUUGAGGUGUUUUUAUUUUUUCCCUUCUGGUACUAGGGAUUGAACCCUGGGCACGAGCAAUAAAUUACAUCCCCGUAUUUUUUUUUUUGGUUCCAGGGAUUGAACUCACAACCUCAUGCUUGCCGAGCAGGCACUUUAUGUCACUGAGCUAAAUUCCUGACUCUAUCUCCAGUACUUUUAAAAUUAAAUUAAAUUAAACAUUUAAAAUUUUGAUACAAAUCUCGCGAAAUUGCUCUGGACUCCAACUCACAAUCUUCCUGCCCUAGCAUCCCAGAGUAGUGGGAUUACAUGCGUAGCAUCAUCCCUGGAUAAAGGUCCAUUUUAAAUGAAAACUCACUAUAGGCAGUUUGCUUCCAAAAGGAAAUAUGGUUAACAUUUGAACAACUUGGGGGGUAGGGAUGCUGGCCCCAACAGAAAAAUCACUUUUGGAAAAAAAAAUUAUAUUAAGACUUUUAUUAACAGAUGCUUGCACUUUGUUGGCUUUUUCUGAGAAACUUGGGUUAUAGACUUUUGUUAUAAAUUUCAGAUGAGAUCUUGAAAGUCUCAAGUUGGCCAGAUAUGAAACAAAUUUAAAGGCCUUGAAAAGUUUAUUGAGAAAAACCAGGCUCAAAAAAUUGUCAUUAUUCUUUCAUUUAAAUUCUGUAUCAUUGUUUUUAUUGUUUUUUUCUCUUUAAAAUAAAUUUAAAAGGAAUCAAAAAAGAAUGUGCCAUGCUGCAUAGAUAAUGCAGAUGAUUCUAGUUAGCUGGUAAAUGGACAAAAAGUAUGCAUUUAGUAUAUUAAGUUCCAACGUUUUGUUCAUUUCCUAUUGUUGGAAUUUGACAUUCAUUUCUCCUUGUGCAUGGAUGGCCACGUGAUGGUAGAUAUGGUAAGCUGACAUUUACUCAGCCCUGUUCUGCUUCAGGAAUGAAUAAAAUCUCACUCACUCAACCUACUGAUGGGUUGGCUGUUUUCCUAUGUUUACCAUCUUAUGGUGUCUGCAUCAUUGCUGAAGUUAUGGUGUGGAUGUUGGGGUGCCUGCUGAUCUUGUAUUUCAUCUCCUUGAUUUUCCUUAUUCUCUUUACCACCAUUCUUUCCAGGCUGCCUUGGUAAGGAGGGGCUCGGCAGAGUGAAUGUAUAAUGCUGUAACACUUGUGACACUGUGUCUCUGACUGUGGCUGUCAGCAUCCUCUUCCUCUUCUUCAUGCACAAGAAGCUGAAAAACUGGUGGAUGCCCAGGUGGCCCCAAGCCCAUGAAUGGCGGUCCAGCCAUGCCACCCUGCCUUGGAGCCAACUGAGUGUGGACUGAAACCUCCAAAAACUGUAAGAAAUAAACCUUCCCUUUCCCAACUUUGGGCUUCAGGUAUUUUGUCUCAUUUUGUCUCAUAGGUAUUUACUCAUAGAGUAAAAAGUAACUAAGACAAAUAGCUUGUACAUUAUUUUGGCUUCUACUCUGUAGAGAGGAAGCUGGAAGUGUAGCUUAGAGGUAGAGUCCCUACAUAACAUGUGCAGGGCUCUGGGUUCAGUCUCCAGGAGCAUUAAAAAAAUGUACAUGGCUGUUCAUUUCAGCCCUAUUUGUAAAAGUAAAAAGCUGAAAAUAACCUUAGUAUCUAUGGGGACUGUAAAUAAAUUAUGAUAUAUCCAUACUACAAAAUACUAUUUCAUAUAAAUUUCAUCUUUGACUUAAAAAAUUACUAAGAUAUGCAGUAUUAAGUAGAGAAUAAAUCACACUAUGUCAUAUAAGGUACAGUAGAUACUAUUUAUAUAAAAUAAAACAAAAAUAAAAUGCAAUUAUACAGAUUUGUAUAUGUUUAUAAAUUACUGGAAGAAGGGUUGGAAUAAUAAGUACUAAACAGUUAAAAAUCAAUAACCUCUAAGAGAGGAACAGAAUGAAAGAAUGUGAGUAAAAGGCUCUUUUAUACUUUACACACUUCUGUAUUUUUUGAAGAUUUCUAAAUGACAAUACCUUACUAUAUGUAUGUAUGUCUUGAAGUGACGUUAUAUUCAUGUAUUAUUUAUGUGACAUUUUUGGUGAGACUAGCAUUGGCUACUUGCACUAUUACCACCAUCACCCUGGAGAAAACACAGAGAACAUCAGAAGUUUUUUUUUCUUAGAUAACCUAAUAGUUGGCCUACUCUUUUAGGUAUCAUCAAACCAUAUAACACAUGGGUUAAACCUAGUCUGCAACCUAUUUGUACAGAGAAAGUCAUUAAAAACAACUCUCACUUUUUAUAACAUAUCAUCUAUUGCUGCUUUUGAACUUUAAGAACAAAGCUGAGCAGUCACAAGAGCAGCCAUAUAAUUCUCUGUAUUCAUCAUUUUCUUAUCACUGGGACAAAAGAUCUGAUACCAGCAACCUAACGGAAGAGAAGUUUAUACCAGCUCACGGUUUUGGAGGAUUCUGUCCAUGGCUGACUGGCCCUGAGCCAGAAAUUCCAUGGCAUAAAAAAAGCUGCUCAAUCUAUGCAGCCAGGAAGCAUAGAGAAAGGAGCUGAAAACAACACUUCCUUUCACAUCACGUCCUCAGUGACCCACCUCUUCCACCAUCAGGCCUCACAUCCUGACAGUACAUUCAACUAUGAACUCAUCAAUGGAUGAAUUUGCUAAUGAGCCUAGAGUUCCAAUCCCCUUCCAAAAGCAUCAUCUCUAAUCGUGUGAGGUGGGGCAUUGCUCACAAAUGCAUGUCACCAAUGAACCACUCAUGCAAAGGCAUGAGGCUUAGGGGCCACCAACAUAAACCAUGACACUAUUCUUCUAGAACUGAACAUUACAAAGAGAAGUUACUGUAUUCAAUGAAAAAAUGACUGAUUCUCCUUACAAAUGAUAAGCUCUACAUGUGAGGUGACAACUACACAAUUGGGAGAUAGAAAGGAUAGACUUGCUGGGUACAUGAUAAGUAAGCUCUGCUUCAAAUGAAUGCAGUGCUAUGGCUGUACCUUUAGACUAUAGAGAAUGUGGUCUUCCAGUGUAUGAGUCCAUUUGAUCAAAAUGUCUUCAAUAAGUAUGUACAGAAUUUUAGAGUUGAAAGAGACUUUUACUCUGCAUUCUAUUUUACUCCUGAUAUUAUGUAGAUGUGUGAUCUUGGCAAGUUCCUUGGGCUUCCUAAGCCUUUUCCUUACAUAUAAGAAGUUGUAAGUUUGCAUUAUCUAUGGAAUUUCUUAGUCUGAAUGAUUCUAUCAUUUAUUUCUAAUGAUAAAUUAUUUCUAAUUUAUUUCUUAUGAUUUUAAGAUCAAAAUAUGUAUCUCGGGUACAAAAAUAGGUAAUUAAACAUGUUUCCUUAUUUACUAUUGAUCAGGAUAUAGUGAAAAAAAAGUUUUGGGAAGAUUCAUUUGACAGAAAUGUUUUACUCACUGCGUAGUAAACAGCGGCCAGAAAAGAUGUUGAUGUGACUUCCUAGUGUGGAGCAUGAAGGUGGGCAAUGAAAUGAUGAUGGAUAAUGAUUUUGUGGCUUGAAGGGAAACUUUAAGGCACAAAUCAUGAAAAGAAUCAAUAUAACUGCUAGCCUAUGCUCUAUAACAAGCCCUCCUCAAACCUUGGUAAUAUACUGGUUUCACAGAACAGUGGAAUCACAGAAUCAGCUCAUGAUUUAGUGGGUUAGUGAUUUGGUCAAAGCUCAGCAGGGGACUGGUUUAGUUGGUUGUGGUUGUGCUCGUUUAUCAGUUGGAUUUGCUCACAAAUCUGCAGCCCACUAGCAUUCAAUGGCCUCACUUGCAUAUCUGGCUUUUGGCUGGAGUAAGGGUAUGGUAUGUGGGCCAUAUGUUUUCAUUAUCCACAAGGUUGCAUUGGCUCAUUCAUCUCACGGUAUUGCCCAGAGUCAAGGCACUCAAGUGUCUAUUGGCAUCGUGUUUGCCAUUGCCAUUAUUCCAUUGGCCCAAGCAAACUGAAUGGUCAAGCCUGGAACCAGUCCUAGAGAGACAAAGUAACGCAACCAUUUAUGCAGAUUAUCUAAAAAUUUGGUGUUGUUGAUGGGGGACUAGGUUGGAUCUCAGGAAUAAAUCAGGAAGAGUAAAAAAAUAGCAACUUGAAAGUUUCCUAGACAAUGCUCAAAAUAGUUCAACAGUGUUUAUUGAUUAAAUACUAUAAACCAGGUACUAUGUAUAGUGAUAAAAAGACCUGGCCUUACUCUUAGAAAGACCAGAGUCUAAUGACGUGAAGGGGUAAACAAAUUGCUUGAAAAUAAGUCACUUAGUGUUAGGACUGUCUGCCAAUUAGGGAGGCAAAAAACAUUUGGGAAAAGGGCUCUCUAGUACGUAUUUUUGGCUUUGAAGAUCAUCGCAUCUGAGUCUGUAGAAACUGACUGUAUUCUGCUGUAAUAGCAUGAAAGGCAUGAUAGACAAUAUGAAAACAAAAAGGCUGGGUAAGGAAGAUUGAUGGUGAAUUCAUCAGAGUAGUGGGAAAGGGGAGCCACAUUUGGGAAUCCCAAAGGGUUUAUGGGAGAGGAAUUGAUUUUGAAACAGUUUGAAAGCAUUCAAGCAGAGAUGGCUGAUAUAGGAGGGCAUAUGGAGCUGCAUAUCUGGGUCUAGUAAGGUCUUCUGGCUCAAAAUACAACAGCAUAGUAAUUAGUAACUGAAGCCACAAGUGGAAUGCAUUUCAUUUGGAGCCAAAAUGUGAAAAAGAAAGGGCAAGGAGACUGGAAGGGGCCUUACACAACAUUUUUUUGUUAACAUAAGCAACAACUAGAAGCUUGUCAAAAAGAGACAUCAGAGAAUGAAUUAGAAAAGGGCAGUGUCUCCAACAUAGGGGAAGAAGAGUUUCAGGAAUGUGUGAGCAUUCAAGAGAGGUCAAAGGGAAUGAAGAGUGACACCACGUCAUGGAGCUGGCCACUGAGGGGAAUAUUGUUCUAGGAAUGUCAAGCUUAGCCUUUAGGCAAACUCCUCUGCUAUACACACAUGCAAAAUAACUGAGUAAUUAGAAACAGUGCAGAAAGACAUGCAGCAACAUUGCUUAGUGUGGGUAUAAAUCUUUUUGCUCUAUUUAUAUUUGUGGAGGAAAACGAACGCCAUCUAUAAUUAGCAUGCUCAUUAGGUUUUUCAAGACUUUUCUAACUUUUGGAAAAGCAAUUCAUUGGGAAACAAUCCUAUUUAUAUUGUUAUAUAGGAGUGCACAAUGGUAAGGUAAAGUUUAAAGCAAAACAUCUUUCUAAAUUCUAGGUGAGGUCUUUAAAACUCAAAAUUUUUUUUCAUUACCAUAUAUGAAGGCUUUUAAAACUAAACACAUAUUAAUGGUGCAUAUUAAUGGAGUUCAGUGUGAUAUUUCUAUAUGUGUACAUAGCAUUUAGUGAUCAAAUACAACCAACUUUCAUCUUCCCAUUCUUUCCUCCCCACAGCCCUCUCAUAUCUAGUAAUGAUUAUUCUACUUUCAGGGCCUCAUCUUAUUUCUGAGUUUUAAAAAAGAGUAGGUGAGAUUUCUAGGUUUUUUUUCUUUGUGGGUCUGAGAUUUCUAGCUUUUAAUGUAUAUUUGUUGACUUCAUCUAAGCAAUGCUCAAUGCAGGGUAUGUUCUGAGCAAAAGCUUCUAAUUUUUUUCAUCAUUGUCAACCAAAAGUGUGAGACAACAGUGCUACAAUAGGUGAAUUUUGUGCUGUAAAAGAUUUUGAAUGAGGAGUUCAGAAUUUUCACUGAUCCCUCUCCAACAACUCAGCCAUCUUCCAUGGGUAGCAGGUGUUCACUCUAGGAGUUCUUUUGUCUCUCUGCUGAAAGAUGCAGAAGUAACCUUUACACAAGGAUGAAGAAGAGAUUAAAAUCUCAGCGACCUCUAUUUACAGCUUUCAACAUAUUUGGAAGAUGUAUGUGUGAGUUUGCUAGGCUGCCCUAACAAAAUGCCACAGACCGCGAGCUCACACAACAGCCACUUAUUUCUCCUGGUUCUGGAAGCUGAGUGUCCAAGCUCAAGGUACUGGCACUGAAAAUCUCUCCUGGUGACUUGGGGAUGGCUAUUUUUCCCUGUGUCCCCACAUGAUCUUUCCUCUGUGACUGUGCUUAUCUCUGUACUGAAGGUAACUGAAUCCUGAUCUCCUUUUCUAUGGACGUUCCUCCUAUUGGGUAGCCAUCCCCCAUCUCAUUUUACCUCAGUUACCUCUUCAAAGCCCUGUCUUCACAGUCUGAGAUGCUAGUGCUAGGUGGUACUAUUCGGAGGUACUGCUCACCAUAUGAAUUUUGGAGGACACAAUUCAUCCCAUACCAAAGUCUAUAUUUGCACCCUGUGGCCUCAGUAGUGUUUGUAGAUGUGCACACUUGCCUGGCCCAUCAGCUCUGCUCCAAUUUGCUCUCUCAAGUACUGCUCUCUGGGCUUCAAUGAUCUUAAAAAAGUGUUCGGUUUGCUUCAUGUGCAUAUAUAUUUCAUUUCCUGUUUCUCUAAAUUAUAAGAACACUUUACUACUUUAUUCGUGAUUGUAUUCUAUGUUUUCCUCUUCUCAAAGCACUUUUUUUUCUGUCUCCUUUUAAUCAAGUAUGCAUCAUAUCUUCUAUGUUGGUGUUUCACCAACAUCUUAUAAUUCCUAAAGCAUUCUGUGGUCAAAGAAUAUUGGGAAAUGCUGAGCUGGGUGAGUCUGAGGAAGUGGUUUUGGGUGUUACUCAUCAUUUUAGUGAUACUGUGUUUGUAUUAGUCACUGCAGGUGAGGUUUACUCAUGUUGCAGUUUGUGACUUCUGUCUGAAAGUUUAACAAAAUCGUGACUUGAGGAUACUAAGUUGUAGAUAUUUUUUAAAAGUUAAACUUAGUUUGCACCCUUUCCUACUUUAUUCUUUGGAUAUAUGCUGCCUGCAAUAGUGUUUUUCCAAAACAUUUAGUUUCUUUAUAUUGCCAUUAUAUAGGAAUUAAAUUAAAUGUUUUUACAAAAGACCUCAUUCCCAUCCUAUCUUUAUUUGGAGCAAGUUCUACAAUUUCAGAAAUAGUGUUUUGGUCCGUGUAACAGAAGUCCAUGACCUGGUGGCUUAUAAAUGACAGAAUUUUUCUUCUACUUCUAAAGACCUGGAAGUCCAAGAUCAAGGGAUAGAAUAUUCAUGGUCUGGAUUAUAAACAUUAUCUUCUUUACAUGUUCUCAGAUGGUAGGAGGAGCAAGCAAGCUCCAUUGUGCUCUUGAAAAGAGCACUAAUCCCAACAGUCCUCUUUUUUUUCUUUGGUAUUUUUCAUUUUUAUUGGUACCAAGGAUCAAACUCAUGAGCGCCUGCUUGCAAGGCAGAUGCUUAUGCUGCUGAGCUAAAUCCCCAGCCCCUCAACAGUCCUCUUGAUACAACCAUCUCUCAGAAGGCCCAACUUCCUAGUACUGCUAUCUGGAGGCCAGUAAUUGAGUAUGUGAAUUUUGAGGGAAUCUAAACAUGGAGAUUAUUACAAAUUGCAUCUACAUGUCCAUCCCAGAAUCCUGAAAGGAUACUCAUUUUUUUCUCCCUUGAACUUCAUUACAGGAGAUUCUAAUUGUCAUUUCUUUCCAUCACUAUCUAUUUCAGGAAUUCUGUUGUCUUUAUUAUUUGUUAUUGGCAAUGCUCUAGGUCGAGCCUACAUACAUACUCUCUGAGAUUAGCCAGGCAAACACAUUUGAAAACUUUCAUGCAAAUACUAUCCUAUCUCACUUAUCUUGCCCUCUAGUCCAGACUUUACUCAUGCUAUGAGCUCUGACCACCAUACUGGCUCAAUUUCUUUUCAGAAGCUCACUCUCAUCCUUUGACCAUAAACUGUGACUCACUAGUGGGCACUUCCCAGUUUUUACCAGUCAGAUCACUUAUACCUAUCAUUCAGGAUGUUAAAGCAUAUUCAUUCUCAGUUUUCUAGAUUGCUUAAAUGUUUCUUUGAUUAUCAUCUUCCUUUUACUUGGAGUCUGUCAUGGAAAACAAUAGUCUCUGGUCUCACAAAUUUUAACAGCUAAAAGGAUGGGUAUAUGUAGCCAUCAUGCUGCUCAAUCUAGAAUGAGAUAUUUUUAAAGUUUGUGUUAGAUUUUUUUUCUGGAUAGUUUGUAUUUAGUCCAUUUAAUUUUUAAAAAUGUAUUUAAAGCCAACAUUUAAAAAUUUGCCUAGUAUUCCUGUAAGAAAGUAGGGCAGGUUUAGACAAAUCUCAUUUCCUUAUGAGAGUUUCUCCGGAAUCUGUAUCAUAAGCUGCAUGGUCUCUGGAACAUGAAGUGACCUCACCAUCAUAGUGAUCCAGCUGCCUAAAGAUUUCACUGCUUCUUAGGUGUAGGACAAAUGCUUGUAGGAAUGAUUUUUGACCAAUGUUAGUGUGACUAUUAAACUGGAAAAGUUGUUAUUUUAUUCAGUCUUUGGGUGGGAAAGGGACUUUUCUAGAUUUUAAGCUUGUGAUACUGGAAAUUUUAAAGAAAUAAAGUUUUGCAAUUCUUUAAUAAAAAAUCUGAAGAGAAACUAGAAUUUCUCUGGAAAUUCAAUUAUACUGAAUCAUUAUGGUGAGAUCCAAUUUUUUUCUCAAAGGGGAAAUUUUAUAUUUGAGGACCACUUGCCUUCCUAAAGUCUUUUACAUACCUUAGAGCUAUUCUAAAAACAGUGUUGUAGGUGAUCAAUAACAAAUGACAAAUUUUUUUGGUGACUGGCAUUUCUCUUAAAGGGUCCAAAAUAUUGUGGGCCCAAUAUUGUGGGGGACCAAAAUAUUGUGAUAUUUUCCCUUUCCAAAAUCCUCAACUUGUUCAAAUUUAGAAAUGGAAUUUCUUGAUAUCAGAUAGGUGAAAAUUUAUCAUUCUUCAGAUGUUGGGCCCCUAGACACUUUGCUGACAGAUAUAAGCUGUGAGAACUCCUCAUGUUUCAGAGAUUAUCUGCAAAUAAGCUGUAGGAGCAGAAUUUUAAAAUAGAACAUUAUCACAGUGUUACUACAUCUGGAGUAAGACAGUAUCCUAAUUUGCAAUAUAUGUACUUAGGAGGGUGGCAAAUAUAUAUUACUGAGGUAUAUAAAAUUAAUGUGUAUAAUACUUCUAUUGCAUGGAUCUAUCAUUAAAAUAAAAAUUUUUACAAAUUUAACAUUAUUUUCUUGACAUUCUACUGUAUAUUAGGCAGUAGAUAAAUCAUCAACAAUAGGUUUGCCUUCAUGGAGCUUGUAUUCUAGUGGGGAAGACAACUGACCACUGGAAAAAAAUAUAUUUAUGUAAUUUACAUAUCUAUAUACCAGACUAUAUAUUUAUAAAAUAAUUUGGUGGUAAAUGAUGUAAAAAAUAUAAAUAAGAGUAGAUAAAGAUUGUGAUGGGAGAGGACUACUCUCCCUACUCUUAAACUAGUUUAAGAGUAGUUUAGGUAUGUCUCUGUGUAGUUGUGGCAUUUGAGAAGCAACUUGAAUGAGAUAGGGUAUGAACUAUUCAAAGGUUCCAAGCAGAUCUUUCCAGAAGAAGAGUUGGCAAGUGUCUGGACAAUACAGGGUAUGAUGCUCAAAGGCCAGGGCCAACAGAGAAGUGUUUACAAGAAAGAUAGAAGAAAAAAAGAGAUGGACCAAGCAGUCAUGAAUUGCGUCAUACAAAGCCUUACAGAUAUAUAUUAGUUAGCCUUAGCUCUCCAAUAACCAAGAAUAAAGAUGGGGUUAUAUAUGGAGAGCUUUAUUAGGUGAAUAUUUGGGUGAGAGAAAAUGGGAGGAUCCAGUGAAGGCUGGGAAAGGCAUGAGACUGUGAGGCAAGUCUAAUCCAAGCAGAGGGUGAGAGGGAAGAGGAGUGGGUGGAAGGAUCCUAGACGGCUAUGCAGUACAAAGAAGAUUCAGCAAAGUCACCAGUGAGUUCAAGAUGGCUGCCAAAGGCGUCACGUGUUCCCCAGAUGUAUGUUGGAUUUAGGGUCAGUCAUUAGCUUGGAGCAUCUGAUGGGAAAGGUGAUCUCAUUGCAAACAGCGAUGAAUUCACAGUGUAGCAACAAAGGGAUUUGGUUAGUUAUGUUCCGCUGGUUAGAGAUCUGAGUGAUGCACUUAGGGUAGCCAUAAUAUGGUCAAGAAUUUGGGAGUUAUUGUAAAUUGACAGGCAGUAACUGGUGGGUUUCAAAUAAGGGAGAAGGUGACCUGGUUACUUUAAAAUGACUCUCAAAAAUAGAUUUUGAAGAUAUGGAAGGAUAUUGCAGAGUAUUAUUGAAAAAUAAAGAUUUUGAUUAGAGUAGUAGAAAUAGAACUUAGGAGAUUCAGUGAGAUUUUGGAAGAAUUUGGGGAUAUAACUGAGAAACUGAGAAUGGAUUGAAUGUUAUAGUUGUCUUAGUUACUUUCUCUUGCUAAAACACCAUAUGCAACACCUGAAACUUAAGGAAAGAGUAGAGAUUUAUUUUGAUUCAUGUUUUUAGUCCAUAUUCACUGUCUUAGUUACUUUUCUCUCCUUGCUAAGACAAAAUACCUGAUACUCAAAAUGAAGGAAGCAAAGGUUUAUUUAUCUUACAGUUUGAAGAUUUUAGUCCAUACUCAGCUGGCUCCAAAGCAGGGUGGCACAACUGAGGGGCCACCAUUCAUGACCACCACAGCAAGAGUGAACGAGCAAAAAGACAUGUCUUCUUCCCAUCCUUACAUUGUAUGUGGGCUCCACUCUUGGAUAUGUGCAGCACUCACACCACCAAUCCCAGUGCUAGACAACAAACCAAUCACAAAUGCUGGAUUCAGCCACUUCCAUGACUACAUGAGGAUUGGGGGAGCCACCUAGACACAAACCUUAACACUGCUGGCUCCAAUUCAGGGCAAUAUGGCUGAGGACAAGCUGCCCAUAUCCUGGCAGGCAGAACCAGAGAGCCAAGAAGGGAUUUGGGGAGAGAGUUACACUUUUCCAGGUGUACACCUAGUGAAUUGACUUCUCACCAGGCCUCAUCUUCUAACAUCACAGUUAGCUAUAAUGUCUCCAUCAUUCUAUAACUUUUCAAAAGCUCCAUCUAUGAGCACAUGAGGAUUUGAAUUAAGGAUGACUUCUGAGUCUCAAGAAUGAGCAACUGUGGGAUGUUGUGUGCACUCAUUGAAAUAAAACACAUUAAGGAAGAGAUGAGUUACGUUCAGUUUUAUGUAUGUUACGUUAGAAAUGCCCAGCAGAUUUCUGAGUAGAAGUAUCAGGUUAGCAAUUGGACAUAUGAGUAAGUAGUGAAGGAACUGUCCAGUCUACAAAUAUAAUUUUUGGGUUCAUCUAUGUCACUUAAAGUUAUGAAAUUGUAUAAAGUCAUCAAAGGGAACUAAUUAGUGGAAAGAAUGGAAGAGACUGAGGAUAGAGCUGUGGAUAGUAACUCUUGGAGGUAAAGAAGAGGAUGAGGUAGGCCAGGAAACAUCGAAGGGAUAGCUAUUAAUAUGGAAGAACCGUAGGUUGAAAUGCCCAGAAAAAUGGGAAAAAAAAGUGUUUCUAAAAGGAAGAGAUCAUCCAUGUCGUGUUGCUUAGAAACUUGUAAGAACGCUAAACUCACCUUUGGUUAGAUGAAGGUCCUGAUGACCUUCACAAGAAUGGAUUAGUCACAAUGGUAGGGAAAAAGGCAACUGUAUGAAGAACGAUGUUGAGCAGGUAUAGAGAGUCGAGAGAGAUCUUUGAAGGAAACUGCAAAUAGAAGGAUCAAAGAAUAUUGUGGUAUCACAGUGUGUUAGUGUUUUUAUGGGAAUGAUUCAUAGCAGAGAAUAUGGAUAAGAAUAUGCAUGAGAAAGGCUGUAAUUGUAGGAGCUGGUGUUUCAGCAGGCUUCUAGACAAGGAUCUCACAGCAUGAGUACAUGGGCAGGACUUAUCUAUGAGCAGGAUGAGCUUCUUCAUAGCAUGGGUGGAAAGUUUGAACAUAGAGAUACAGACACAUAAAUAGUGAUGGAUUGUGAUAGGAAGAAGAGGAAGAUAUUUUCAAGUUGAUUCUAUGUCCACACUACAAUAGGAAGUAAAACAUUGGUUGAAAGGAAGAGGUUGGAGAAAAAAGAAGUGGUGAAAUAAGUGUCUACAGUCCUAGAUUUCAGGAGAAUGGGAGAGUAAUUAUGGUGCAGUGUGCAUAUGCCAGGCAACACAGAAGGGCAUCUCAGAUGGGGGUUGACAGUACUGAAAAGAGGCUGUAUAUACUGUUGUGUGUUCCAUUGUUCAUAGCAAUGGUUCUUAACUGGAGUCAGCGUUUCCCCCACAGUACAUCUGGCAAUGUUUGAGGACAUUUUAGCUGUCACAACUGUGAAGGGGGAAGGGUGGUUCUACUUGAAUUACAGGUUGGAGA